UGAGUAACUGGAAGGGGUGGAGCCAGGAUCCACCCCUUCCCAGACCUCAUUUAAGGGCUGGCACUGGAGACAAAUGGGUAUCAUUGAAGAUUCCUGUGUACUGGAGGUCUUCUAAGGCGCAACUGCAGGAGGUGGAGCUGGAUCAUCUUUUCAUUUGAGAUUCAUUAAAAGAAUGGCAAUCAGGCUGCAGCUGUACUGCUAAAAAUCUGUUUUAAUUAUAAACAACAAUAAAAAUCCAAGAACCCAAAUGGGCUCCCAACACACAAGUCAGUGGAAAAACUGGAUGUGGAGUCUUUAAGCAGCGACAGUACUUGAACUGCAACAAUGCCUGAACACCAGGAAAAUCCAUGUCUUCACCUACAAACAAAAUGGCUUGGGACAGAAAGAUAAGCAGUGGUUUGGCUCUGACACCUCACACACACUGACCAUGCAGUGACUUUCAGAGACAGAAGUAUGUCUUCUGGAGCACAUUCUUAAGUGAAGUUAACAGCACAAGGUCAGCUGUGCAAAGGAAUCGAGCAGAACCUUCUCACUUCUUUUCUUUUAUCUGAGUGAAAUGCAGGCAAUGACCAGGGCACUGGAAGAAGUGUUUUUAUGCUGGGCUGGAGAGAAGAUGCCUCACGUGAAAAGCAGUCUCUCUAACAGCAUGAGGACAGAACUCCAUUACCCUUCUUUUAAAGCACAUAACAGUGACUACAUGAUUAGGAGAGCAAGCUUUUGAAAAAUCCAGCUGCUGUCUUCAGCUUUCUGAUUUACUGCAGCUGUUAAUUCCUCCUCUUGAAGGUGCAGAUCACUAUUUCUGUUUAUUCUUUCUAGAUUUACUUGUCCCCAUAUCCAGAAGUGAAGUUCUUUUCAAAGCUGUUCUUCCUUAACCUGUAGGAGGAGGUAGAGGGGGAAUAGCAGCAUGCUCAACUGGAUUUCUGUGCACUGAUGCAUGCACAACAAUUUGUCAACAGAUCAUGAAGCUUCUCUCAAAGUACUGACUGCAAAACAGUGCCCAUGAGAAAGGGACUCUGCUUCGCUCUAGUUUCUGAUGACUGCAGUAGAGGCCAGCCAGCGGGUAAUGGGAUAGAGAGACAGAAACCUUGGCUCUGUUUGACUUUGUGACAGGCUUACUAUGUGACAUUGAAAAAAUUACUUUUCACGUGUUUUCCCUCCAUCCUUUAUCUGCCAGUCCUUGAAAGCUGUGCUCUCUUUGGAACACCAUCCUCUUCCAGCAUGUUGUGCGUCUCCUGCCUCUUUUCUGCUCUGGGAACCCUACCUGCACUUUCAAAGCAAUUAUUUUCAACAACCCAAAGUUCCUGAAUUCCUUGCCAAAGAAAGGAAGAGAGAGGAAGGUGGCUUCUUAUCUUCUUGAUAAAUGAGUUUAAUACUGCACAUGCUUGAAAUUCAAUUUGUACACCAAUAUGCAUAUCUCAGAAGGGAAUGAGCACUUACAAUAUUCAUGUUGUGAACCACAAAAUUAACUCAAUAACUUAAUUCUCUGCCAAAAAGCAUUGGGUGAAGCCAUCAGAAGAGUAGCCUUAGUUUUUACGGGUACACUGGCCAAGUAUAGAACUCCAAGUAUUUCAUAUUCCUUGGCUCCAAGAAAGAUGAGGCACAGGAAAGACCUUGAAAAUGCAGAGGUUUGGCUUUGUUUUGCUUUGCUGAGUAGGUCUUUCUCGCUCCUACAGGAGUGAGAAGAGGAGAAAGCAUCUCUUCUGAAGGCAGUGGCUUCCCUCCAUUCCCUCUCUCUCGUUUCCCUCAAACAGCCAUGAGGGCUCUGCUGCCCUGCCCUGUCCUGUCCACCUCCUUAAGAGAUGCAGAUAAACUCAACAGCAACUGCUGAAUGGAGGAGGUGAAGACUGAAGUGAAACCUGGACCUUGCUCAAGCCAAAUAUUUGAGCACUCUGCAUCAGAGCAAACUGGCAAGUCCUCACUCUUCUAGGGAAGAUUAAUAUUCUCCAUCACUUUAUUUAUAUAAUUUUAUCUCUCAUCAAAACAACAGAUAAAUCUUGUCACAUAAAAACCAAAGCUCUUGAAGCUUACUGCGCAUUCUCUUCUUUAUCAGUCAGUAAUCCCAAGUGCUAAAACAAAUACCUAAAGGCGUGAUUUAGCCCUUAGUGCUUUAAAAUAGUCAAUAGAUGUCUAAAGUGGGCUUUUGAGAUGUGAGCUCAGCCAGUCUCCUCUGUA
Non-coding RNA from Meleagris gallopavo (turkey), 2172 nucleotides. Lineage: Eukaryota; Metazoa; Chordata; Aves; Galliformes; Phasianidae. The record is from RefSeq and is a predicted model, not a curated record.